This 460-nucleotide ribosomal RNA is filed under the name uncultured bacterium. Its description in RNAcentral is "partial 16S ribosomal RNA". It matches the Rfam family "Bacterial small subunit ribosomal RNA", at positions 338 to 795 of the family's 1533-position model. The record is from RNAcentral.
CCUACGGGUGGCAGCAGUGAGGAAUAUUGGUCAAUGGACGAGAGUCUGAACCAGCCAAGUAGCGUGAAGGAUGACUGCCCUAUGGGUUGUAAACUUCUUUUAUCUGGGAAUAAAAUGUUCCACGCGUGGGCUUUUGUAUGUACCAUAUGAAUAAGGAUCGGCUAACUCCGUGCCAGCAGCCGCGGUAAUACGGAGGAUCCGAGCGUUAUCCGGAUUUAUUGGGUUUAAAGGGUGCGUAGGUGGAUUGUUAAGUCAGUUGUGAAAGUUGGCGGCUAAACCGUAGAAUUGAAGUUGAAACUGGCAGUCUUGAGUAGGGGAGAGGUGGGCGGAAUGCGGGGUGUAGCGGUGAAAUGCGUAGAUAUCACGAAGAACUCCGAUUGCGAAGGCAGUUCACUGGACUGAAACUGACGCUGAGGCGCGAAAGUGUGGGUAUCGAACAGGAGUAGAUACCCUAGUAGUC